Long non-coding RNA from Bombyx mandarina (wild silkworm), 335 nucleotides. RefSeq lists it as uncharacterized. The record is from RefSeq and is a predicted model, not a curated record. Lineage: Eukaryota; Metazoa; Arthropoda; Insecta; Lepidoptera; Bombycidae.
GUCAAAGAAUUUACAAAUAAUCAUAAGUAAUCUGUGCAAAGAAUAAAAACAGCACUCCGGAUUUACUAAAUUUGUUUUAAAUUACUUUCAAAAUGUAUUUCCAAUUGUGUUUCCUGUUAUUCACAAUUCUUGGUAUAAGCAAUGUGGAAGCAUCUACAGGUUACGACUUUGGUGACUUUUUGGCUACUGUUUUAGGUAUCGGUAUAGCCGUUGUAGGAAUUUUAGCCUGUUUGGGUAAUUACGCACGGCAAAGGGCGAGAAACGAGUUUAUAUAGGUUCAUCAAAACUUGCCAUCUUGUUUCAGCACACACAAGUCUAGAAUAAAUGAAUAUGGA